This 358-nucleotide RNase P RNA is filed under the name Helicobacter didelphidarum. Its description in RNAcentral is "Bacterial RNase P class A". It matches the Rfam family "Bacterial RNase P class A". Rfam says of the family: Ribonuclease P (RNase P) is a ubiquitous endoribonuclease, found in archaea, bacteria and eukarya as well as chloroplasts and mitochondria. Its best characterised activity is the generation of mature 5'-ends of tRNAs by cleaving the 5'-leader elements of precursor-tRNAs. Cellular RNase Ps are ribonucleoproteins. The record is from Rfam by way of RNAcentral. Lineage: Bacteria; Pseudomonadati; Campylobacterota; Epsilonproteobacteria; Campylobacterales; Helicobacteraceae.
UCGGUGUAGCAGGUAAUUGCUUUUUUAAAGAGGAAAGUCCGAGCUACAGAGACAAGAUUCCAUUUAACAAAUGGCUAGGGAGACCUAAGGGAAAGUGCAACAGAAAUAUACCGCCUUUAAGCAAUUUUUUAGAAAUUAUUAGAUUUUUAGAGAAUCUUGCGAUGUUAAGGUAAGGGUGAAAAGGCAGGGUAAGAGCCUACCGGUUUUUUGGCAACAAAAAAUGCUCUGUAAACCCAAUUUGUAGCAAGAAUAGCAGGUUAUCGUCUCAUUUAGCUAUUCGCUAGAAUGAUGUUGUGAAAUAUCAUCAAGAUAAAUAAUUACCUUAUAACAGAACUCGGCUUAUAGCUACACCGGAUUU